UACGAAGGGGGCUAGCGUUGCUCGGAAUUACUGGGCGUAAAGGGAGCGUAGGCGGAUAGUUAAGUCAGAGGUGAAAGCCCAGGGCUCAACCUUGGAAUUGCCUUUGAUACUGGCUAUCUUGAGUAUGGGAGAGGUAAGCGGAACUCCGAGUGUAGAGGUGAAAUUCGUAGAUAUUCGGAAGAACACCAGUGGCGAAGGCGGCUUACUGGCCCAUUACUGACGCUGAGGCUCGAAAGCGUGGGAG
This 244-nucleotide ribosomal RNA is filed under the name uncultured bacterium. Its description in RNAcentral is "partial 16S ribosomal RNA". It matches the Rfam family "Bacterial small subunit ribosomal RNA", at positions 524 to 767 of the family's 1533-position model. The record is from RNAcentral.